RNAcentral lists this ribosomal RNA (109 nucleotides) under Pelagimonas varians. Lineage: Bacteria; Pseudomonadati; Pseudomonadota; Alphaproteobacteria; Rhodobacterales; Roseobacteraceae. The record is from RNAcentral. RNAcentral also lists the same sequence under 1 other name.
UGGUGGUCAUAGCGAGAGCAAAACACCCGGAUCCAUCCCGAACCCGGCCGUUAAGUGCCUUUGCGCCGAUGGUACUGCAUCUUAAGGUGUGGGAGAGUAGGUCACCGCC